AUAGGGAAAAAGUUCAGGUGUUUCACCUCCUCCAGCCAUCGUGUAUCACAGCUGACUCUCAGAGCAACAACCGGAGGCGGAGGCGGAGAGACUUUGUUACAUCAGAGUCUGCUUUGACUUUCCUCUGACUGCCGUCCGGACCGAGUGAAGAACUGCUGGAGGCGCUGGGCCUGCCGGAGGUGACUUCCUGUUUAACAGCUGGGCCCUUGUUCGCCCCCUGCACGAGCUACACGCCGAUAAUCUCCCAUGAGUCUUUCCACAUGGCAGAGAAGACGCCAUGUCGCUCUGCUGUUUUUCCUGCCUUCCAACAAAGAAGAAAAGGUCAUUAAUGACCACGGUGUAUAAUUGAUGAGUGUGAAGAGUGGAUGUCUUCGCUUGACUGGACAAUCGAACGCAUAUGAGGGCGAAAGCUCAGGGAUUUCCUCCUUCCAUUUCCCAGGACAGAGCUGCAAUUACAACUUGGGAUGGAAGAAGACCAGCUGUGCGGCCCAUUGGGAAUGGUGAGGAUGCUAAGAUUAGGGCGCCUCUCAGAGGAAUACCACUGGGACUGCACCUAUAUAUCAUGCUGGGAUCAAAGCAGCCGGAAUAGUUUCCGAGCUCAUGGCUGCUUUUCAAAGUGCCCUGACAAGGUCAUCGUGACCAAACAGAACCAACCGCCCAUCAUAGCACCUAGUGUGCUGUGUUAUGACCUGUC
This is a long non-coding RNA of Corythoichthys intestinalis (scribbled pipefish), 694 nucleotides long. RefSeq lists it as uncharacterized. The transcript has 4 exons. The record is from RefSeq and is a predicted model, not a curated record. Lineage: Eukaryota; Metazoa; Chordata; Actinopteri; Syngnathiformes; Syngnathidae.